AAAUAAAGCUCGCCUCUUAAAAGCAAUAAAUAACCUUGAGCAGAUGCUGGCUCACUCCUAAUCCAAUUAUCUAUCAGCAGGCCUACGCAGUGCUGGGAGGAAAAAAACACCGACCCCAUCUUGCUGGGAAAUGGGGCUUCAGCUUCUUCCAGUUUUUGGACUCCCACCCUGGCCCAGAUCCAGAAGAGCUCUCCAGAAACACGUCCGUGAGCGGCACAGCAGCACAGGCAAAAAGGCUGAGGGUGAUGAAGGGGAGCAUCAACAAACAUCGUGUUUGGACAACACCAACCCAACUAAGCUGCAUGUUUAGGAUUAGCACAGUAUCCAUGCUGGUAUUUGCCUAUUGACGAUCAUCUCCCAAAACAUCUUUGUUCCUGGAAAGCCUCAACAAAAAGUUCUCCAAGAGAUGAGCAGGAAUCAGUUGGAGACCGCAGCUGUGAGUGCCCCGGGCAGAGCUCCUUGGUGAGUCUUCACAAAGGAAUUCUGCAUUCCUCCCCCUGCUCAAAGUGACUGGAGCAGGGAAAUGUAGUCUUGUUCCCUUGUAGACUCUGUAGAAGCUUUUAAAAGGAAUUGGAGAUACAUAGAGACCUUUUUCCAGUUAAUUUUAAUGCAAACCUAAAUGCCUUGAUACUGACAGCUAUACAUUGCUGAUGGGGCUGUGAGAUUUGUGCUCUGUCCUCUUGGAGUCUCUCUCUUCUCUCAGGAUAAGGUGUCUAGUUAGAGAAAUGCUUCCAAGAACCCACCCCUGAGCUGUAGACCUGGGCUAUGGCUUUUCCUCACGUUAUAUAUGCAAAAAGAAACUAAAUGGAGCGAGGGCACAGGUCUAAACACCGUCCCAUUAUCAACUGUACUGCACACACCUUGGCAGGAUUUCAGCCCAUGCCAAAGAGCGCCCUUCAAGCAGCACCUAGACAUGGUCCAAAGAUAGCGUAGGGCAGGGACCGUGGCCAGCAAAAAGCCUGGCUGUGGCUGCAGUUGACUGAGAAGCAGUGGGGAUGGGAGUCAAGCUGAGCCACUUGGCCUCAGGGACAAGAACUAGUCUCUGGCCCGCUUGUUUUGUAAUAUAGACAAAUCCAGUGUGUGUGCAAAUCCCUUGUGGUUUAUCCACUGUGGACUAACGGCGUUUGGUGACCCCUUUGAAGGCGACUGGUCUCAGCUGCUCACCCGCUGACAUCACUGGGAGAGCAAUGUUUGCCCCAUUACCAAAAGGAGGUUCAGCCCUUGCAUUUUCCUGUGCUCACCUGGGUGAGAGCUCAGCAUCCAAAGCUCCACCAUCCCUUGCUGGUCAGUAACCAGGAAGCUUCUCCGAA
RNAcentral lists this long non-coding RNA (1310 nucleotides) under Calidris pygmaea (Spoon-billed sandpiper). RNAcentral describes it as "lncRNA (ENSCPGG00000000481.1)". The record is from RNAcentral. Lineage: Eukaryota; Metazoa; Chordata; Aves; Charadriiformes; Scolopacidae.